GUGAGUUUUCUGAAUUAUAGAAGCAGUAUAUUUAUACUAAAAAGAAAUCGCCGUGUGGUCAUAUAGAUUCAAAAUAAUGGUCGUAACUAAAUCGAAUAUCACACAUAACUUGCGCUCCAAUCUUAGUCGAGAAUUACUUUAAUAUUGUAAAUAGUUAAUGCAAAUUUCCUUUUAUCAAUCACAAUUGAACAAAUUCAAAAAAGUUCACGAUUAUUAAUUGAUUACAAUCAUUUGAACCUUAAUCUACGUUCCUUAUAUACAAAAGUCAAGUCCUUGCAAAUCACGUAUUAUUACCAUCAGUUUACCAAAUUUGUAAUUUGAAAAUAUGUCAAAGUUAUUAGAAGUUUCCUUUUUCCCAAUCAUCAAUUAAUUUCGUCUUUGCAAAUAACAUUUGAAUCAUGGGCAAUUUGCUCCGCCAUUAUUUGCAUUAUGCAAGUUGGCGUUAAAAUCUUAAUUACGAUAGAUCACCUAAGGUAAGUUUUUAUAUGUGUAUGCCAGAAAAUCGUAUUGUACCUUAGUUUCUACAAUCGCAAGGCGUAGAUCAUCUAACAAUUUAAUGAAACGGGGCAAGUAUAUGUCAUAUGCAUG
Molecule: long non-coding RNA, 588 nt
Filed under: Brassica napus (rape)
Lineage: Eukaryota; Viridiplantae; Streptophyta; Magnoliopsida; Brassicales; Brassicaceae
Description: long non-coding RNA (BNAP_LNC009034)
Source: RNAcentral